Molecule: ribosomal RNA, 3102 nt
Filed under: Triticum aestivum (bread wheat)
Lineage: Eukaryota; Viridiplantae; Streptophyta; Magnoliopsida; Poales; Poaceae
Description: partial small subunit ribosomal RNA
Source: RNAcentral
AUGGCGCCACCGCCGCUAGCCACGGCGGCGGCGGACGAGGAGUUCUUGGAGGUGCGCUGCGCGGGGUGCGAGGAGACGUUGGAGGUGGAGCGGGGGCUGACGGAGUUCGUUUGCCCCGACUGCGGCACGGCGCAGUCGCUCCCUCCGGAGCUCAUGCCGCCGGCCCGGCGGAGGGCGCUGCCCCUGCCGCGACGCGCCGCGGACGCGCGCGGGGCCAGGCUUCCGUGCGGCGCCUGCGGCGAGCUCCUCAGCGUGCCGGUCGGGCUAUCGCGCUGCGCCUGCCCACUCUGCGGCGCCCAGCUGGCCGUCGACUCCGCGCGCCUGCGGAACUACAUCCUCUCCUCCGCCGAGGCGGCCGUCGUGCCGCUCGCCGCCGCAUCUGUCCCACCGAUUGUUGCUGCUCGGGAGAAAUGGCAAGAGCGUCCUAGUUAUGCAAUGCGCGCAGGGCUACCACGAGCAGAACCUGAUGAACAACAGGGGUAUACUGAUCAUAUGAUUGAUGGAGAACAAAUACAUGUGACAAAUGAGACCGUUGCAAAUAAUAGCCUUCAGAGAAAUCGACCGCCCCUUGGCCGUCGUAUUGUAGGCAACGAGGAGAGACAAGCUUUGCCUCUAAAUGAGGUCAGAGAUCAUGUAAAUGAUCAGCACCCUAGUUACACUAUGCAGCCAAAGCGAGCGAAGCUGGCACGCUUGCAUAGAGUCACUCAUUCAGAGGAGAUGCAGGAUGGACUUCUCAGCCAUGAAGUUUAUGGAGAGGCGGGACAUAGUGAACUGAUAGAUGAGGCUACUGCAACUCAUAAAAACCAGAGAGUCGGAUGCUCCGUUAGCCCCCAAACUGUAAGUAUAGGGGAGAGGCAUAUGGAGACUCCUGCUCAGAUCAUACAGCAGGUGCACAAACAGCCUUUUCAUGAUGCGGUGGUUCAUGCAGAAGGCAGUCAGUUAUACUGUCUGGAUCUUGAUGGGGUGGUUCAUCCACCUGUCGACCAAGCAGAACAUGGAGAAGAGGCAUCUCCUGAGAUGAUCAAUAAAACAGUUUUGAGGGAGAGCAUUCGGCCAACUGGAUGCGCUGUUGAACCCAACUCUGUUAAUGUAGAGAAGAGAAAGGCAUCGGCCACAAAUCAGGCAAUUCAUGAGUGUCUCAAUCCUGCAACUAAUAGAGAAGCCAUGUGCUCUCUUCCUAUAAAGGAGACUACUGCAUCAUGUAGUAGCAAGCAGAAAAAAUCAAAGUUAGCUAAUGCUAAGACUAUUGGCAAGAAGAGACAUAUAGAACCACUGAACCACAUUAUACAGCAGGCAGAAGGACAGACCUCUGAUAGCGGUAGUCAUGGAAUCCAGGUCGACUUUGAGCGUCAAAGUAAGGCUAAUGAGAGGCCUGGCAACAGCUCGACUCUUAAGGAGCGGGAACAGGUUGCGCCUCCAAAUAAGAUGGCUGAUCUAAAACAGAAAAAUGUACGCACUAAUGAUGAAACCCAGAAGGGGCAGAUUGAAGUUAAUGUUUCCAAGCAGACUACUGGUUGGACUCAGAAGAAGAAUAGAAAAGGCUCAAUAGCUUCAUCAAGUGCAGGGCUUCUGCUUAGACGUAGUAAACGUUUGGCCAAAGAUUCAGCUGCUGCUAUAGAAAAUGAACCUCUAGAAAGUGACCCUGGUGACCUGCAGGAUUUUGGUCCUAAUGUCCAAGUGCCAGCAGAUGCUAUGAAUAACGAAUCAAUUGACUGGGAGCCUCUUCAGCAGUGUCCUGCCUCUCCAGAUUGUGAAGUGUCAAUUGCCAUGAUAGACACUGAAUCUGUAGAAAGUGAGAACGAUGAUGCUGUAUCUCCAGAUGAAAGCAUGUCUGAUCCUGACUAUCCGGACACUGAUAGAAUGAGCGCUGGUCUUUACCCUAGCACACCGUCUGCGCAUAAGUUGCCUCAAGAAAUCUCUGAUGAACUAGAUGACCUUGAUUUAACAAGAACUCCUUCAAAUACUGAUAUGUCUGAACCUGAGCAUUUCGCGCGGAAUUAUUGUCGGUUAUUACCUCUAGAGGUCAGAAGGGCCCUUGCCAAGAAGAAAUAUAAUGCGUUUCAUGACCGUCUGCUGCCUGAGGGUUCCAAUAAGGUAUUCCUGCACGAUAUAACUGAUUCUGAGGAGCAGCAACAAGGUAAAAAGGGACACAAAGCAGGAGGUAAUCUUUGUGUCAAAAUGUGGACCUUGCCUGAGGGUGUACGGGUGCCAAUCUCCUUGAACACUUCGGGCCUGCCAAUUGGAGAAAAUGCAAACAUGUUGAUUAACUUUCUAGGCGCACUAGCACGAGAUGGAAUAUUGGCACCUCUCACGUAUAUAAGUUGGAAAAAUAUUCCAAAGGAGAACAAGGAUGUUAUGUGGCACAUUGUUAAGCUUAAAUUUGAUGUUGAUCGACCUCACGAGUUGUCGGUCCUGAGGUCAAUAAGAAACAAGUGGCGGGUUUGGAAAUCUUAUUUAAAACGGAAACACUAUGAUUCUCAUACAACCGAAGAGGAACGCCUUGCUGAUCGAGAUCCUCGUGUCACAAAAGAACAAUGGCGAGUCCUUGUUGCAUAUUGGAAUACCGAGAAGGCAAAGGCCAGAAGUGCUGCAUCUAAAGCUUCUCGAGCCAAAUCAACCUAUAUCAAUAAAACCGGAUCCAAGAGCUUUGCGCGGAUGCGUCAGGAAGAGUCACGAUCUGGUGACCCAUCUCUUGAGGGUCCAGAAGGCUCAGGAGACGGCUAUGCACCUGCCAUCGGUGCAAACAGGAGGGUUAGUGCACGCAGGCAUACACCUGGGCCCUCCCCCAAAGACCUGCAGGAAAGGUCAGACACGCAAGCUGCGAGGGCCAAACGAAAGGCUGGAGAUGAAGUCUCCACACUGAGAAAUAAGGUGGUAGUAACAGAGGAAAGUCGCCCGAAGAACUCCCAGGAAAGUGCAGUCUUGGAAUCUGCGAGGGAUAAAAGAAGGGCUGAAGAUGAGGCAGCCGCUCUAAGGAAGAAGGUGAUAGCGAUGGAGGAAAGUCAGAGAAAGCUUCAGGAGGACUUGGCAAGAGUGACGAAUGCAAUGAGUGCUAUGCAGAAGAUGAUGGCAACUGGUGGCUUACCAAAUCGAAAUGGGUGA